GGGGGGUUGAAUUGUGUUUUAGCUAAGUUAAAACUUUUUCAAGUUCUUAACUCAACUACGUUCGCAGCGGAUAAAUAACACAAAUAAUAACAAGGAAGAGAGAGAGAAGUCACACAAGCAGUUUAUACUGGUUCCUCUCACAAAACGAGAGUAGUCCAGUCCGCUUGCACUUCCAAGGGAUUUCACUAUAAUCACACAAGAUUACACCUGCUCAAGCACACAAGCAAGAGACUUCUCAACAAUGCUCAAGCACACAAGCUUAAGACUUCACACUUAAGCACACAAGCUUAAGUUUCACACUUAAGCACACAAGCUUAAGUUUCCUCAAGUAAAUAGUAAAGUAUAUAAGAAUAUACAAAUACUCUUAGAUGAACCUAAAGAAAGCAAAUACAAAUAUUACAGAGUAUUUGGCUAAAGUGCAAAAACACUUGAGAAAGGUUCAGAGCUUGUAUAUCACAGAGUUCAGAGUUUGUUCAGCGCACGUUCAAUUCUUGAUAAAAUUAUUAUAUAUGUUGUAGCUGAAUCUUCUAGUAUAUAUACCACUAGAAAAGAGUCGUUGC
RNAcentral lists this long non-coding RNA (560 nucleotides) under Trifolium pratense (red clover). RNAcentral's name for it is "long non-coding RNA (TPRA_LNC009860)". Lineage: Eukaryota; Viridiplantae; Streptophyta; Magnoliopsida; Fabales; Fabaceae. The record is from RNAcentral.